CCUUGGAGAAGGAACUCGGCAAAUUGACACCGUAACUUCGGAAGAAGGUGUGCCUUUAGUAGGUGAACCUGUACAAGGGGAGCCCAAUGAGGUUGCAAAAAAUCGGUGGCUGCGACUGUUUAUUAAAAACACAGCACUCUGCAAACACGAAAGUGGACGUAUAGGGUGUGACGCCUGCCCGGUGCUGGAAGAUUAAAUGAUGGGGUGCAAGCUCUUGAUUGAAGUCCCAGUAAACGGCGGCCGUAACUAUAACGGUCCUAAGGUAGCGAAAUUCCUUGUCGGGUAAGUUCCGACCUGCACGAAUGGCGUAACGAUGGCCACACUGUCUCCUCCUGAGACUCAGCGAAGUUGAAAUGUUUGUGAUGAUGCAAUCUCCCCGCGGAAAGACGGAAAGACCCCAUGAACCUUUACUGUAGCUUUGUAUUGGACUUUGAACAGAUCUGUGUAGGAUAGGUGGGAGGCUUUGAAGCAGGGUCGCUAGAUCUUGUGGAGCCAACGUUGAAAUACCACCCUGGUGUGUUUGAGGUUCUAACCUAGGUCCAUUAUCUGGAUCGGGGACAGUGCAUGGUAGGCAGUUUGACUGGGGCGGUCUCCUCCCAAAGCGUAACGGAGGAGUUCGAAGGUACGCUAGUUACGGUCGGACAUCGUGACGAUAGUGCAAUGGCAUAAGCGUGCUUAACUGCGAGACUGACAAGUCGAGCAGAUGCGAAAGCAGGACAUAGUGAUCCGGUGGUUCUGUAUGGAAGGGCCAUCGUUCAACGGAUAAAAGGUACUCUGGGGAUAACAGGCUGAUACCGCCCAAGAGUUCAUAUCGACGGCGGUGUUUGGCACCUCGAUGUCGGCUCAUCUCAUCCUGGGGCUGUAGCCGGUCCCAAGGGUAUGGCUGUUCGCCAUUUAAAGAGGUACGUGAGCUGGGUUUAAAACGUCGUGAGACAGUUUGGUCCCUAUCUUCCGUGGGCGCUGCAGAUUUGAGGAAGCCUGCUCCUAGUACGAGAGGACCGGAGUGGACAUACCUCUGGUGUAUCGGUUGUCACGCCAGUGGCAUUGCCGAGUAGCUAAGUAUGGAAGAGAUAAACGCUGAAAGCAUCUAAGCGUGAAACUCGUUUCAAGAUGAGAUCUGCCGGGGCCUUGAGCCCCCUAAAGAGUCGUUCAAGACCAGGACGUUGAUAGGUCAGGUGUGGAAGCGCAGUAAUGCGUUAAGCUAACUGAUACUAAUUGCUCGUGCGGCUUGACCCC
Molecule: ribosomal RNA, 1236 nt
Filed under: metagenome
Description: bacterial LSU rRNA
Rfam family: Bacterial large subunit ribosomal RNA
Source: RNAcentral